GCGAGAAGGGGCUUCGGCUCCUAUAAAGCGGCGGACGGGUGCGUAACACGUGGAUAAUCUGCCCUUCAGUGGGGAAUAACACGCCGAAAGGCGUGCUAAUGCCGCAUGUCACAAUCAAGUUUCCGAACUAGAUUGGAAAAGGGGACGCCCGUAAGGGGUUCUCGCUGGAGGAUGAGUCCGCGGCCCAUCAGCUUGUUGGCGGGGUAAUGGCCCACCAAGGCGAAGACGGGUAGCUGGUCUGAGAGGAUGACCAGC
This 255-nucleotide ribosomal RNA is filed under the name uncultured delta proteobacterium. Its description in RNAcentral is "partial 16S ribosomal RNA". It matches the Rfam family "Bacterial small subunit ribosomal RNA", at positions 66 to 308 of the family's 1533-position model. The record is from RNAcentral. Lineage: Bacteria; Deltaproteobacteria.